CAGUAGCCGCGGUAAAACGGAGGGUGCAAGCGUUAAUCGGAAUUACUGGGCGUAAAGCGCACGCAGGCGGUCUGUCAAGUCAGAUGUGAAAUCCCCGGGCUUAACCUGGGAACUGCAUUUGAAACUGGCAGGCUAGAGUCUUGUAGAGGGGGGUAGAAUUCCAGGUGUAGCGGUGAAAUGCGUAGAGAUCUGGAGGAAUACCGGUGGCGAAGGCGGCCCCCUGGACAAAGACUGACGCUCAGGUGCGAAAGCGUGGGGAGCAAACAGGAUUAGAUACCCGUGUAGUCCCUGUCUCUUAUAC
This 301-nucleotide ribosomal RNA is filed under the name uncultured bacterium. Its description in RNAcentral is "partial 16S ribosomal RNA". It matches the Rfam family "Bacterial small subunit ribosomal RNA", at positions 509 to 807 of the family's 1533-position model. The record is from RNAcentral.